RNAcentral lists this ribosomal RNA (467 nucleotides) under uncultured bacterium. RNAcentral's name for it is "partial 16S ribosomal RNA". It matches the Rfam family "Bacterial small subunit ribosomal RNA", at positions 28 to 506 of the family's 1533-position model. The record is from RNAcentral.
GACGAACGCUGGCGGCGUGCUUAACACAUGCAAGUCGAACGGAAAGGCCCUGCUUUUGUGGGGUGCUCGAGUGGCGAACGGGUGAGUAACACGUGAGUAACCUGCCCUUGACUUUGGGAUAACUUCAGGAAACUGGGGCUAAUACCGGAUAGGAGCUCCUGCUGCAUGGUGGGGGUUGGAAAGUUUCGGCGGUUGGGGAUGGACUCGCGGCUUAUCAGCUUGUUGGUGGGGUAGUGGCUUACCAAGGCUUUGACGGGUAGCCGGCCUGAGAGGGUGACCGGCCACAUGGGAGCGGGAAGACGGCCGGGGCCUCCUCGGGGGGAAGGGGGGGGAAGGUGGGCCAAAGGGGGGGAAGCGGGAAGCGGAAACCCCGGGGGGGGGAGGCGGGCCUUGGGGUUGAAAACCGGUUUGGCCUGGGACGAAGGGUGGGGGGCGGAAAUGGGAAAAGAAGCACCGGCUAACUAGGG